This 157-nucleotide small RNA is filed under the name Clostridiales bacterium CHKCI001. RNAcentral's name for it is "Clostridiales-1 RNA". It matches the Rfam family "Clostridiales-1 RNA". Lineage: Bacteria; Bacillati; Bacillota; Clostridia; Eubacteriales. The record is from Rfam by way of RNAcentral.
UGAAAGUGUCGUCAAUGUCCAAUCAGGCAGGGGAUUUAUCCCCUGUGCCGAUUAGAUAUUAGAUGACCUGACCCGUAUGAGCAAGUAAGAUAUUCGCCUGGAUUGGGAAUACGGGCAGCGAUGUCGAAAGUACACAGCACGAAGAUAUCGACUUUUA